CAUCCAUCGCUUCGGUCGGAUCAAACAUCCAUCGCUUCGGCUGAAUCAACCAUUUCAGCAUAGCACAUACUUCCUUUAAGAAGACUCAAGUCAUGAUCAUAUCUUAUACUUACUAAUCCUAUCGCUAGUCAACUUCUUAGGUUAAAAGGCAACUACACGAAUCUAGUUGUCCAUUGCUUUAAUCAUAUCUACCUAAACUUUCGUCUACCUUCAGUCCUCACUUCUUAAUCAUACGUAGCUAAAAGGCAACUACACGAGUCUAGUUGCCCACCUAUUUCAAAAACACAAAUGAUCCAAUGCUAUAGCUGGAUCAGAUACUCCCUGAAAAUCAGCAGUAUUCCCAAUCAACCAUUCUGUGCUUCAUCAAUGAGCUUGGCAAGGCUAUCAGUAAAGUAAAUACUCUCACACCACAGUAGAACGAUCAAUGCCAGACAAUAAUCCUUAUGCGGGCUAGUUACUCCCUUAAAUAACCCAUUGCUUCAGACAAAAGUGGCUGAGAGGAAACUGAUCGAAUCCCAUACAAGUCAGACGAAAGAUGAGAAUGUUGUUGAAUCCGCUAAGUCAGAAGUCGUUCUCAAGACUCAGAUCAUCGAGGCUUCUGGCCGUGAUACCAAUGCUAUGCAGGAUACUCUCGAUGCUAUCAUGCGAGAAAGGGAUACUCUGAGCGAU
Molecule: long non-coding RNA, 669 nt
Filed under: Zostera marina
Lineage: Eukaryota; Viridiplantae; Streptophyta; Magnoliopsida; Alismatales; Zosteraceae
Description: long non-coding RNA (ZMAR_LNC003872)
Source: RNAcentral